CAUUCAAUUCGAAAAAACACACAGAAGCUAAAUCAAAUUCUGCUAAUGUCUUUCACUGCAAAGAAAAGAAUCAGCCGUACAAUCUUGCUUCUUCUAUGAACCAGCUACAUCAUGUAGACGUGGAGCCAGGCGAGGCUGCAGAGGUGGGAUGGUGAACAUGCUGGGAAUCCAGAAUGUUCCAUCGGACGGCCUUCCUUUGGUUUGCUGUGGACUCCACAAACAAGCGCUGAUCGUCUAGAUGCACUUCACUGCAGAAGCCCUGAAGAGUGGAGGAUGACCUUCAGAGCUGUGUGCAGGGGAGAGCCAUCAGAAUAAAUUAGGCUGGCAGAAGAAGUGAAAAGCUUGUGGCUCACAUUGGACAGGGGGCUGGUGAGGAGGAGAUGCAGGGGGUGAUGCACAAGCACCCGAUGAAGUAUGCAGGCCUCUGGGGGGGCCGGAGAACCACUGAGACCCCUUGAUUGACAAUGAGACUCCUUGAUUGACACUUGAGACCCCCUGACAGCCGCAAUAGCAAAAUGUCACUGGGGGUCCUAAUGUCCAAUAUUCAUUUUUCAAAUUGCAAAACAUGGAUUCACAAACAUAAAUAGGCUCCAGAAAAACAUUAUUGUGGUGCUCGAUCUGAAUCAUUCAUUGAAUCCCAGAAAGGCCUUCUUCCAGUUGCA
Molecule: long non-coding RNA, 662 nt
Filed under: Gadus morhua (Atlantic cod)
Lineage: Eukaryota; Metazoa; Chordata; Actinopteri; Gadiformes; Gadidae
Description: lncRNA (ENSGMOG00000032448.1)
Source: RNAcentral